RNAcentral lists this ribosomal RNA (292 nucleotides) under uncultured bacterium. RNAcentral's name for it is "partial 16S ribosomal RNA". It matches the Rfam family "Bacterial small subunit ribosomal RNA", at positions 505 to 796 of the family's 1533-position model. The record is from RNAcentral.
GUGUCAGCCGCCGCGGUAAUACGAGAGGCCCAAACGUUAUUCGGAUUUACUGGGCUUAAAGAGUUCGUAGGCGGCGCAGAAAGUAGGGUGUGAAAGCCCUCGGCCUAACCGAGGAAUUGCGCUCUAAACUACUGUGCUUGAGGAAUCUAGAGGUGAGCGGAACUGAUGGUGGAGCGGUGAAAUGCGUUGAUAUCAUCAGGAACACCGGAGGCGAAGGCGGCUCACUGGGGAUUUUCUGACGCUGAGGAACGAAAGCCAGGGGAGCAAACGGGAUUAGAUACCCCUGUAGUCC